This 92-nucleotide ribosomal RNA is filed under the name uncultured bacterium. RNAcentral's name for it is "partial 16S ribosomal RNA". It matches the Rfam family "Bacterial small subunit ribosomal RNA", at positions 400 to 508 of the family's 1533-position model. The record is from RNAcentral.
CGUGAAGGAUGAAGGUUUUCGGAUCGUAAACUUCUUUUAUCAGGGAAUAAUCAUGAAGGUACCUGGUGAAUAAGCGCCGGCUAACUACGUGC